RNAcentral lists this transfer RNA (73 nucleotides) under Ictidomys tridecemlineatus (thirteen-lined ground squirrel). RNAcentral's name for it is "Spermophilus tridecemlineatus (thirteen-lined ground squirrel) tRNA". It matches the Rfam family "tRNA". From Rfam's summary of the family: Transfer RNA (tRNA) molecules are approximately 80 nucleotides in length. Their secondary structure includes four short double-helical elements and three loops (D, anti-codon, and T loops). Further hydrogen bonds mediate the characteristic L-shaped molecular structure. tRNAs have two regions of fundamental functional importance: the anti-codon, which is responsible for specific mRNA codon recognition, and the 3' end, to which the tRNAs corresponding amino acid is attached (by aminoacyl-tRNA synthetases). tRNAs cope with the degeneracy of the genetic code in two manners: having more than one tRNA (with a specific anti-codon) for a particular amino acid; and 'wobble' base-pairing, i.e. permitting non-standard base-pairing at the 3rd anti-codon position. Lineage: Eukaryota; Metazoa; Chordata; Mammalia; Rodentia; Sciuridae. The record is from Rfam by way of RNAcentral.
GGGGAUAUAGCUCAGUUGGUAGAGUGCUUGCCUUGCAUACACAAGGCCCUGAGUUCAAUCCCCAGUACCUCAA